Molecule: transfer RNA, 65 nt
Filed under: Sinolapotamon patellifer
Lineage: Eukaryota; Metazoa; Arthropoda; Malacostraca; Decapoda; Potamidae
Description: tRNA-Tyr
Rfam family: tRNA
About the family: Transfer RNA (tRNA) molecules are approximately 80 nucleotides in length. Their secondary structure includes four short double-helical elements and three loops (D, anti-codon, and T loops).
Source: RNAcentral
AAUAAAGUGGCUGAGUACAAAGGCGGUGAAUUGUAAAUUCAUAAACAAGUAAUACUUCUUUAUUA